ACUCAAGAAACGUUAUGCAAGCCUUGACGCUGCAGAGUAGAAUUUUCUUUGACAGAAUGCAAAAUGAUAUACGCAGCGCACAGCACAUGCUUCUUACUUCAUGCACCACAUGCGGAUAACAUUAUUGUCCCAAGGUUACCCAACAAUGCUUCUGCUGAAGAGGUGAAGAAAGAGGAGAGUUGACCAGGGUUAUCCAUCCCGCAACGUGUUUUCCUACUAUAUCUACAUGGUUGCCCAAGACAGCCGAAGGAGGAGGCUUAGAUAUUGUGCCUCCACUUCAAGAUUGGGGAUACAAGACUAUGGCCUCAAAAUUGCGCAGAAGAAAGAGUAAGAGCAUGCCCAUCUGUGCGAGUUUUAGUAUGAAGGUGAAACCGGCAAGCCAGGCUCACCCAUUUGCAUCCGCAUAUUUCGGGGUUUAAGUGGGCAUUGUUGUUUGCUUUUGAAAGGGGGGGAGGGCGAAAUGGCCAAGGGACAUGUGCAUCAACUUCAGGGUUAGAUGGUUUUUACGCAGACCGCUUUUAAAUUCUCGCUCGGAAAUGCUCAAUAGCCAUCGCCUGUGGGCUCAUUCCUACUGGUUGUACGAUAACUAAUUUCUAAUCAAGGAGGUAGUUUUUACUAUAUCAGAUCUGCCACCAGGCAUGCCAGCCUCCUCUUCCUAUCACUCCUUUCAGAAACAUGCACAGAUGAAUUUCCUGAUCAUAACGGCUGUUGUAUAUCAUAUUUUCAUACUCUCACUCUUAUUGCCCGUGGCAAAAUAGUGCAUUCCCACAUCACGUUCAAGAGUCUCCACCAUCUGACUGGGAUUGGCCCAGCCUCUUUUGAGGCUUCUCGGUUGCCCUUUCACGAAUCGAAUCGCUGUUUGCCACUAUGACCAGAACAGCCAAACCCCCUUG
Molecule: small RNA, 893 nt
Filed under: Histoplasma capsulatum
Lineage: Eukaryota; Fungi; Ascomycota; Eurotiomycetes; Onygenales; Ajellomycetaceae
Also listed under: 1 other name
Description: hypothetical RNA
Source: RNAcentral